GACGAACGCUGGCGGCGUGCCUAACACAUGCAAGUCGAACGGAACCUAGAUGUUAGACUGUAGAUGUUAGAAAUUAGAACAAGGACAUGGUUGGAACUUUAAGAUUGAGCCUAAGGCUUGAGGGACCAUUGUCUUAGAUUUAAAAUCUAAAAUCUAAUGUCUAGAGUCUAACAUCUAGGCUUAGUGGCGGACGGGCGAGUAACGCGUGAGCAACCUGCCCUUAAGAGGGGGACAACGACUGGAAACGGUCGCUAAUACCGCAUGACAUAUCGGGAUGGCAUCAUCUUGAUAUCAAAGGAGAAAUCCGCUUAAGGAUGGGCUCGCGUCCGAUUAGCUAGUUGGUGGGGUAACGCCCACCAAGGCGACGAUCGGUAGCCGAACUGAGAGGUUGAUCGGCCGCAUUGGGACUGAGACACGGCCCAGACUCCUACGGGAGGCAGCAGGUGGGGGAUAGUUGCACAAUGGAGGAAACUCUGAUGCAGCAACGCCGCGUGA
This 495-nucleotide ribosomal RNA is filed under the name uncultured bacterium. RNAcentral's name for it is "bacterial SSU rRNA". It matches the Rfam family "Bacterial small subunit ribosomal RNA", at positions 28 to 404 of the family's 1533-position model. The record is from RNAcentral.